This 344-nucleotide ribosomal RNA is filed under the name uncultured bacterium. RNAcentral describes it as "bacterial SSU rRNA". It matches the Rfam family "Bacterial small subunit ribosomal RNA", at positions 8 to 350 of the family's 1533-position model. The record is from RNAcentral.
AGAGUUUGAUCCUGGCUCAGGACGAACGCUGGCGGCGCGCCUAACACAUGCAAGUCGAACGAGAGAUGAGGAGCUUGCUCUUCAAAUCGAGUGGCGAACGGGUGAGUAACGCGUGAGGAACCUGCCUCAAAGAGGGGGACAACAGUUGGAAACGACUGCUAAUACCGCAUAAGCCCACGGCUCGGCAUCGGGCAGAGGGAAAAGGAGUGAUCCGCUUUGAGAUGGCCUCGCGUCCGAUUAGCUAGUUGGUGAGGUAACGGCCACAAGGCGACGAUCGGUAGCCGGACUGAGAGGUUGAACGGCCACAUUGGGACUGAGACACGGCCCAGACUCUACGGGAGGCA